This is a long non-coding RNA of Triticum aestivum (bread wheat), 2544 nucleotides long. RefSeq lists it as uncharacterized. The transcript is spliced from 2 exons. The record is from RefSeq and is a predicted model, not a curated record. NCBI's taxonomy places the organism in Eukaryota, Viridiplantae, Streptophyta, Magnoliopsida, Poales, Poaceae.
CCUUUUUUUUUCUCUCCACCUCUUUCUCCCGAAAAAAAACUGCUCCCUCCCCUCCCCCGCACACCUCUCCCCAUGGCCCCGUCGCCCGUCGCCCCCGCCGCUCCACGCGACGGAGGCCAUCUCUCCCCUAUUUCCCUCUUCUCCCAUCCCACAGGGCAAGUGCGUGGCAGAGCAAGGAAGGACGACCGACAUCUCUCUCUUCUCCCUCGCCCCGCUGCACCUCACCACAGCCUCACGCUUCCAGACGCUCGCCUCGAAGGAGGCAGCCGCCUCAACCGUCUCCACGCCCAGUGGGGCGCGGGGAGCGGGCUGCUCUCGCUGCUCGACCGGGCGCUUACCGUCGAGGAGCAGUACUGCCGCCAGCCCGCCCAGGUGCAGCGCAAGGGCAUGGAGGCGGAGGGGUUUGGCAUAGAGGGGAUCUCGACGGGCGGGCACGAGACCUGCGUCACUGCGCCGUCCCCAUUCUGUGGCAGUGGUUGAUUCAGCAACGAUAUGUACACUGCUGACAUUUUUUUGUUUCAGGAGCUUGAGUAUUAUCUUCAUCUAAUUGCUUGUCAAGUUGCUAAUUGGAGUCUUCAGAUUCUUAGUCACAUUGAUCCACAAAUUGUCAAGCACACAUGGUAUAGCCAUCAAGUUCUGGGAUAUUAGCUGGUAAUUGAACUAUCAAACUUGGUAAUGUUCACAUAAUGGUUUCCAUCAUCUAUCUGAUUCUGUUUCCAAACUUUCCAUUAUAGUUGUUUGUUUGUCCACAGAUUAUGUGUACUCUUGGAUAAGAAAUCUAUUCAGUCUAUGACACUGCAUCCAAAAGAGUUGGUACCCACGAGUUCAUUUUCCUACUUUGUACAUUGCUGGAAGCCUAGAACCUUUAAAAUAAUUUAUAUUAUGUAUGAAAUCAUUUGCAUCAGCAGCUGCCGACAACAUAAAAAUGGUUAGCCUUCCAAUGCAAAAUUCUGCACAUUUUCACCUUGUUUAUAAGUGGAACGGUUUGUUAUUUAUUUAGCUGUAAUUCCAAACAUUUAAGUACUGCACUAUAUGUUCAUGCUACUCAAACUCCAUUUUUUAUAAUCAAAAUACGUUUAGAACUAAUUUUUUGUUUGCUUGAUGCCCUUUUUUUGUGUGAAUUUUACAAUUUUCUUGGUGGUGCAGUGAUUCUUUUUUUCUUGGAAAGACCGGCAUCUUCAAUCUUUUUUGCUUGGGACUUAUGACUUGAAGCAUGAAUUACUAAUUUCAUUUCUAUAUAUUAGCAACUGAACUUGUCCCCUUGUAUGAAACUUCUCCCAUGCAGGCUUUAAGUUUUCAAGUGCAGGCAGUCUUUUAACAAGGGAUGUAUGUCAGUAGUGAUAUGCCGAAUACCAUGGAUAUAUGUUCACUGCAGAUAAGUUCUUUUCCUGAAACUUACAAGCACAAACUUACUUAGUCAACUCAAAUCUUCGCACGGUUAUAAAUACAAUACUUUACUAUAAGCAAUAAUGCUUGAAUUUUUAUCAGUUUUCAACACUAUCCGAUUCUUCGAACCAUUCUCUAAAAAUAAAAAUGAACUCCUUGAGUGCUUUCUUACCAGUGCCUCUGGCCAAGCUUGUUUUUUUUCCUAACCUUAUUAUAAUCCAGUAUUUCAUAUGCCAUCUAAUGAUCCAAGGUCUUUAUAGGAAAAACAAUGGCACUUUUAAUGCAAGUUCACUGGACGACUACCAUAUCUUACUAUACUUUUGAUUGCUUGGAUGAAGUUGGAUGGGAGAUCCCCAUCCAGUUUUUAAAAGCCAUGAUUUUGUUUCAUUGGUUGGGUGAACAAGAUAGUAUACCAUUAAAACUAAUUUAGCUCCAACUAGGGCAAACAAUUUGGUAAAGAAACUGAGUGAGCUGGGCCAUUUCUUGCUCGCACUGGUUAAGCUUAAAUUUCCAUUUGAUAUUCAUUUCUUAAGUAAUAAAGGAAUUCCAUGCAAAAUUCUGCACCAAGCAUGAGCCUUCAAAGUUAAGCAUAACAGUCUUUGAUGAUACAAUGAGAAGGAAAUUUAAGCCAACAAUGCUGCUGAUUGGUGGCUCUGCUGCCUCCAAUGCUGCUACUCUUGGAUCAUUACUCAAGUAUGUCUUGCAUACAUGAUCGUUGAUGUAGGUGUUGCAGCUUCUUCAGUGCAGUAUACACUGACUAACCGGGAGCACACUUGAAUUACAUGUUUUCUCCUUUCAGCACGCUUGCUUGCUGUCAGCUAUCGUGCAGAAACUUUAAUCUAUUGUGCAGAAUACAUUUCUUCAGAGAAACCGUUGUUGUGUACAGAAUAUAUUUCUUCAGAGAAUGUGUUAUUGUGCAGAAACUACAAUGAAGUUGUCGGCGGAGAAGAUCCAGUGAACCCAACUACAACAUUCCCCCUUUUCUUUAGAGAUGAAGGGACCAUUUGUACUCUCUCCGUGCCAUGCCUGCGUGCAUGAUUACUCAGUAUACUCAUGUUCAUUUUUGUUAUGUUUCUGAACAUGUAUAUCAUUUAUGUGGGUGAACCGGUGGUGUCCUUUAAAAAUACAUAUUGUUGUGCAUCAAUUUCUUCAUGGUCA